CUUCCAUCCUCUGCCUUUUCAUCGUCCAUUGCACUCUCCCGCUUCCUUCUCAGCGUCCGGUGGUCGAGGAGACUUCGGAGCAACUCGUUGGGUUCCAUGGCAGGUGAUGGUGUUCCUGAGUGCGUUGGUGUAGCUGAUCCGGUGGCACCUUUGCCACAUCCGGAAACAGUGGGAGUGGCCGAAGAACCCGAUCGGCCGGCGACUUUGCCACAACCUGAAGCAGUUGAAGUGUCCCAAGCCCCCGAUCACCCGGCGCCGGAUGUGGAUGGGUCAAUGCGUAUCUCUACUUCAUAGUGUGCUUGGUUUUGAAAUGUAAUGCUUGGUUUUGUAAUGUAGUGCAGUGUGUUAUUUAAAUGUUCAAUAUUGUACAAAUUGCAUAUCAAUGAUUCACCGUAGUAGGUAUAGUUUGAUUUAUGAUC
Long non-coding RNA from Ipomoea nil (Japanese morning glory), 419 nucleotides. RefSeq lists it as uncharacterized. The record is from RefSeq and is a predicted model, not a curated record. The transcript has 2 exons. Lineage: Eukaryota; Viridiplantae; Streptophyta; Magnoliopsida; Solanales; Convolvulaceae.